This 257-nucleotide ribosomal RNA is filed under the name uncultured bacterium. Its description in RNAcentral is "partial 16S ribosomal RNA". It matches the Rfam family "Bacterial small subunit ribosomal RNA", at positions 524 to 777 of the family's 1533-position model. The record is from RNAcentral.
UACGAAGGUGGCAAGCGUUUGUUCGGAUUUACUGGGCGUACAGGGAGCGUAGGCGGUUGGGUAAGCCCUCCGUGAAAUCUCCGGGCCUAACCCGGAAAGUGCGGAGGGGACUGCUCGGCUAGAGGAUGGGAGAGGAGCGCGGAAUUCCCGGUGUAGCGGUGAAAUGCGUAGAGAUCGGGAGGAAGGCCGGUGGCGAAGGCGGCGCUCUGGAACAUUUCUGACGCUGAGGCUCGAAAAGCGUGGGGGAGCAAACAGGG